UACGAAGGGGGCUAGCGUUGCUCGGAAUCACUGGGCGUAAAGCGCACGUAGGCGGCUUUUUAAGUCAGGUGUGAAAUCCUGGAGCUCAACUCCAGAACUGCCUUUGAUACUGAGAAGCUUGAGUCCGGGAGAGGUGAGUGGAACUGCGAGUGUAGAGGUGAAAUUCGUAGAUAUUCGCAAGAACACCAGUGGCGAAGGCGGCUCACUGGCCCGGUACUGACGCUGAGGAGCGAAAGCGUGGGGAGCGAUCCGG
Molecule: ribosomal RNA, 253 nt
Filed under: uncultured bacterium
Lineage: Bacteria
Description: partial 16S ribosomal RNA
Rfam family: Bacterial small subunit ribosomal RNA
Source: RNAcentral